GAAAAAACAACAGUCAUAAGGAUCAGGAGCAAUCUCGCCAUUUAGUUGGAUAUGUUUGGGAUCUUUGGAAGGAUGAAAAGGCUUUAAAUGCUGUUGAUCCAUUGUUAAGUGGCUCAUAUGAAGCUUGUGAAGUUUUGAGAUGCAUCCACAUUGGCCUUUUGUGUGUACAACCGUUUACUGAUGACAGACCUACUAUGUCAGAAGUGGUCUUCAUGCUGUGCAAUGAAACAAAUCUUCCUUUCCCUAAACAACCUAGCCUUAUAUUCAGAUCAGAGAAUCAUAGUUCA
This 287-nucleotide unclassified non-coding RNA is filed under the name Hevea brasiliensis (rubber tree). The record is from RNAcentral. Lineage: Eukaryota; Viridiplantae; Streptophyta; Magnoliopsida; Malpighiales; Euphorbiaceae.